RNAcentral lists this transfer RNA (72 nucleotides) under Ictidomys tridecemlineatus (thirteen-lined ground squirrel). RNAcentral's name for it is "Spermophilus tridecemlineatus (thirteen-lined ground squirrel) tRNA". It matches the Rfam family "tRNA". From Rfam's summary of the family: Transfer RNA (tRNA) molecules are approximately 80 nucleotides in length. Their secondary structure includes four short double-helical elements and three loops (D, anti-codon, and T loops). The record is from Rfam by way of RNAcentral. Lineage: Eukaryota; Metazoa; Chordata; Mammalia; Rodentia; Sciuridae.
GGGGUUGUGGUUCAGCGGUAGAGUGCUCACCUCACACGUGUUCAAUCCUGGGUUCGAUUCCCACCACCACCU